CCACACAACAUCCUUUAUCCAACUUCAGUAUAUUCAGACUCUGUUUCUCUCUCUCUGCAUUCUGAAAAAUUCACAUUUUCUCUCUCUUAGGGUUUUAACACUUUGAGAAUGGCGCAGGAGGCACAUGUAGUUUCCGGAGAAGUGUUCACGGCGGUGAAGUCGUGGCUGGUGGUGGAGGCUCCGAAGGCGAACGAAGCCGUGCAGUUCUACAAGGCGGCGUUCGGAGCUGAGGAGUUGAACCGAGUGAAUGAUCCGAAGAGGAAGGCGGAGCAGGAGCUGCCUCUCAUUCGCUCUGCUGAGCUCAAGAUUGGAUCCUCCAUUUUCGUUGUUUCUGACCUCUCCGACGACUCUCCCGUGAAAUCUGGUGUGAGCGGCGUUUUCUGCCUGGAGACCGAAGCAGUGGAAGCUGCCGUAGCAAAGGCGGUGGGCGCCGGCGCCGUUUCCGACGACCAAGUGGUGGAAGGUGAAGGCGCGUGCUGCGGUGGACGCGCGGGCAAGGUGAAGGACCCAUACGGCAGCGUUUGGCUAAUCUGCUCUCCUGCUAACAAGUGCGGUGGCGUGGCUGCUUAAAUUAGAUGCCGUCUACGCUCAUCUGAGCCGCUCUUUAAUCUGCUCUCCUUCACUCAGUGAAAUGGAGGGAGUACUAUGGUUGCGUGUAGGGAGAGAACGGUCUACCAAGUCAAGGACAACACGUGUCACCGAGACGGGGUAUUCGGGAAGGAUCUUCGGCUCCCAUUUGGUGUGUGCGAGUGGAUAUCUCGUGAAUUGAGUAUUUUGGGUCUCGUGAAUAUUAUGACACGUGAAAAUUACCUACUAGUAAUUCUUAAUUUUGUUACUAUGUUGGUUUAAUUUUUUUAUCUAACAAAAAAGUAAUAGUAAUAAUUGUGAAAAUAAAUAAAGUAGUGCAUUAUUCACUAUA
RNA transcript from Salvia hispanica, 919 nucleotides. RefSeq lists it as uncharacterized. The record is from RefSeq and is a predicted model, not a curated record. NCBI's taxonomy places the organism in Eukaryota, Viridiplantae, Streptophyta, Magnoliopsida, Lamiales, Lamiaceae.